This 253-nucleotide ribosomal RNA is filed under the name uncultured bacterium. Its description in RNAcentral is "partial 16S ribosomal RNA". It matches the Rfam family "Bacterial small subunit ribosomal RNA", at positions 524 to 776 of the family's 1533-position model. The record is from RNAcentral.
UACGGGGGGGGUAAGCGUUGUUCGGAAUUACUGGGCGUAAAGGGCCAGUAGGCGGCCAACUAAGUCCGACGUGAAAUCCCAAGGCUUAACCUUGGAACUGCGUCGGAUACUGGAUGGCUUGAAUUCGGGAGAGGGAUGCAGAAUUCCAGGUGUAGCGGUGAAAUGCGUAGAUAUCUGGAGGAAUACCGGUGGCGAAGGCGGCAUCCUGGACCGACAUUGACGCUGAACGGCGAAAGCUAGGGGAGCAAACGGG